GGAAUCAGGCCUAAAUACUCUGUCUACAACCAACAAAUUAACCAAAGAAUAGAAAGAACAAUGUAAGAGGAUGGUAUGAUGAGAAAACAUUUGGUAUCAGAUAAAGUGCUAAAAUAACUCUCUAGAAAUACAUUACUAAGAAAAACAUUAAUGAACACAUGUAAAAACAAAUACAACCAACUUCACAACAUGGCAGUGGAACAAAAUUAUCUCUCAAUGCCUAAAAGUGCAUAAAGUCAGCAUUAGUAUACCAAUAGACAAUAAAAAAAAUUAAGAAAAAACAAGCAAUAUGAUAUCCAGGUUCCCAACAACAGAAUAAUCUUUGUAUCAAAAAAUUAACUGUGGUGGCCUGGCCAC
Molecule: unclassified non-coding RNA, 357 nt
Filed under: Hevea brasiliensis (rubber tree)
Lineage: Eukaryota; Viridiplantae; Streptophyta; Magnoliopsida; Malpighiales; Euphorbiaceae
Source: RNAcentral